Molecule: ribosomal RNA, 253 nt
Filed under: uncultured bacterium
Lineage: Bacteria
Description: partial 16S ribosomal RNA
Rfam family: Bacterial small subunit ribosomal RNA
Source: RNAcentral
UACGAAGGGUGCAACCGUUGCUCGGAAUUAUUGGGCGUAAAGCGCACGUAGGCGGCUUAGCAAGUCGGAUGUGAAAUCCCUCGGCUCAACCAAGGAAGUGCAUCCGAAACUGCAGAGCUUGAGUACUUAAGAGGAUCGCGGAAUUCCCGGUGUAGAGGUGAAAUUCGUAGAUAUCGGGAGGAACACCAGUGGCGAAGGCGGCGAUCUGGGAAGAUACUGACGCUGAGGUGCGAAAGCGUGGGGAGCAAACAGG